RNAcentral lists this transfer RNA (82 nucleotides) under Candidatus Magnetobacterium bavaricum. It matches the Rfam family "tRNA". From Rfam's summary of the family: Transfer RNA (tRNA) molecules are approximately 80 nucleotides in length. Lineage: Bacteria; Pseudomonadati; Nitrospirota; Thermodesulfovibrionia; Thermodesulfovibrionales; Magnetobacteriaceae (SeqCode). The record is from Rfam by way of RNAcentral.
GGGAGUAUGGCACAGCGGCAACUGCAUUUGACUGUAAAUCAAACCUCUUUUGAGUUCGUAGGUUCGAGUCCUACUACUCCCA